RNAcentral lists this ribosomal RNA (166 nucleotides) under uncultured Rhizobium sp. RNAcentral's name for it is "partial 16S ribosomal RNA". It matches the Rfam family "Bacterial small subunit ribosomal RNA", at positions 338 to 522 of the family's 1533-position model. The record is from RNAcentral. Lineage: Bacteria; Pseudomonadati; Pseudomonadota; Alphaproteobacteria; Hyphomicrobiales; Rhizobiaceae.
CCUACGGGAGGCAGCAGUGGGGAAUAUUGGACAAUGGGCGAAGCCUGAUCCAGCCAUGCCGCGUGAGUGAUGAAGGCCCUAGGGUUGUAAAGCUCUUUCACCGGUGAAGAUAAUGACGGUAACCGGAGAAGAAGCCCCGGCUAACUUCGUGCCAGCAGCCGCGGUA